This 460-nucleotide long non-coding RNA is filed under the name Homo sapiens (human). Its description in RNAcentral is "non-protein coding lnc-ZSWIM2-8:1". Lineage: Eukaryota; Metazoa; Chordata; Mammalia; Primates; Hominidae. The record is from RNAcentral.
UUCAAAGGAAACAAACUAUGAUCACUGAGAAACAAAUGGAAUAUUUGAACAUCUUGUUCACUAAGAACCCAUACCCAAACCUCAGUCUUCAGAAAGAAAUGGCCUCAAAGACAUACAUCCAACGGUACUGCAGGUUAGGUUAAAGAAUGAUAGCACAAAACACAAGAAAGCAAAAUGCAAGCAUAUUCAGCAAAAGCAAGAAGCUCAACAACUGCAAUUAACUGAGGGUGUAGUCAAGACCAGUCCUUCCCAGAGAAAUAGACACACCACCCAGAUCCCCUAAUGAUGCCUAUCCUGUAGCUCUAAUGUAUACAGAUGAUUGGACACUCUCAUGCCAACUCAGCGUAUGCCCCAAGGUUAAGGUCCCUACAGAUGACUCCAUUAGCCACAAAAUAAUCCAUUCUGGCUGCCGAGAUUUUAACAAACACCGCCUCUAACCCAUUUUGGAAUCCUAAGUUUG